RNAcentral lists this ribosomal RNA (483 nucleotides) under uncultured bacterium. RNAcentral's name for it is "bacterial SSU rRNA". It matches the Rfam family "Bacterial small subunit ribosomal RNA", at positions 32 to 492 of the family's 1533-position model. The record is from RNAcentral.
AAUCAACGCUGGCGGCGUACCUAACACAUGCAAGUCGAACGCGAGAGUCCCGCAAGGGACAAUUGAGUGGCAAACGGGUGAGUAACACGUGGGUGACCUGCCUUCGAGUGGGGGAUAACGUCCCGAAAGGGACGCUAAUACCGCAUGACAUCCUGCCUUUGGACAGGCGGAGAUCAAAGCCGGGGAUCGCAAGACCUGGCGCUUGAAGAGGGGCCCGCGUCUGAUUAGCUAGUUGGNGAGGUAACGGCUCACCAAGGCGACGAUCAGUAUCCGGCCUGAGAGGGCGGACGGACACACUGGGACUGAGACACGGCCCAGACUCCUACGGGAGGCAGCAGUGGGGAAUUGUUCGCAAUGGGCGCAAGCCUGAUCCAGCGAUGCCGCGUGUGUGAAGAAGGCCUGCGGGUUNUAAAGCACUUUCAGUAGGGAAGAAAAGCCGAGUGCUAAUAUCACUCGGUCUUGACGUUACUUACAGAAGAAGCA